CAGAGCUAGUGUGGAGGCAGAUGUGUGUGUGUGUUUAUAGGAGCAGUAUAGGGAGGAUCCCUGGUGUAGUUGGAUAUGGGACAGACAGACAGACAGACAGACAGACAGACAGACAGACAGACAGACAGACAGACUUGGAUAUGGGACAGACAGACAGACAGACAGACAGACAGACAGACAGACAGACAGACAGACAGACAGACACUGUUGGAUAUGGGACAGACAGACAGACAGACAGACAGACAGACAGACAGACAGACAGACAGACAGACAGACGUAGUUGGAUAUCAGACAGACAGACAGACAGACAGACAGACAGACAGACAGACAGACAGACGUAGUUGGAUAUCAGACAGACAGACAGACAGACAGACAGACACUGGUGUAGUUGGAUAUCAGACAGACAGACAGACAGACAGACUGGAGUAGUUGGAUAUUUGGACACUAGGCUAACACCCUCCAUGUGAUUGUCUGAAAUGACACCCUAUUCCCUACAUAGUGCAGAGUUCUCCGGUCAAAAGUAGUGCACUAUCCCAUAGGGCUCCGGUCAAAAGUAGUGCACUAUCCCAUAGGGCUCCGGUCAAAAGUAGUGCACUAUCCCAUAGGGCUCUGGUCAAAAGUAGCGCACUAUGUAGGGAAUAGCAUGCUGUUUCAGACACCGCCUGUCUGUCUGUGGAGUGUAAAGAUGUGUUGUUGAUUCUAAUCACAAUCUUUUUGUAAAUUGCAUCAAAAUGGUUUAAAAGCCUCCAUCGGGUUUAAGUUACUGUACAACUGGAAGAUGAUUGGCUGAUGUUUUAAUGAUCCUCUCAGGUGGUCACUGCUUUGAUUGGACGGGAUGAAAUGGUGCUCUGUGAAUGGCUGUUAUGUUGAUGGGGGGCGGGUCUGACCUGUUCUCUCUCUCUGUUUCUAUUGGUCACAUUACUGAUCCGUCUGUCUGUAAAUACAGCUACUGUCUCGAAAGGCAUCCUUUUGGUCGUUACUAGUUAAUACAGCCACAAAGUCAUACUUAUGGCUAAACCCCGCCUAUUUCUAAAAUGUUUAUUCUUAAAAUCAGAUUUUAAACCUAACCCUAACCACAAUGAUAACCUAAUGCCUAACCUUAUUAAAUGAAGUCCAAAAAGCACAUGUUUGUUUUCAUGAAUUUUUUACGAUAUAGCCAAUGCCCUGACUUUGUGGCUGUGAUACAGACAGGAAGUACACUAAACUACAGGAAGUGCUAGGUCACAUGACGGAACAAUUCCAGAAUGAAGUGCAGGUUCUAGAACCAUCCAUGUAGCUAAUGAUUGUGCCUUCUGUUUUACCGUCAUUACGUCCCUAAUGGCACCGGUAGUCCCUAUGUAGUGCACUAGUUUUGGCCAGUCCACUUUCCAUAGGCCCUUGCGAUAGACUGGUGUCCUAUUUAGGGGGUGUACUUGUACAUCAAGCUGCCUCACACUACAGAAACAGGAGAAACAGAGCGAACCUUUUUGGCUCUGACGAUGCUUACUUACUAUACAGGUAAUAUUGGGUCAUUUGAGACACAUACUGUGUGAUAGUGGAUGGGGACGGUUCUACUGUGUGGUAGUGGAUGGGGUCGGUUCUACUGUGUGAUAGUGGAUGGGGUCGUUUCUACUGUGUGAUAGUGGAUGGGGACGGUUCUACUGUGUGAUAGUGGAUGGGGUCGUUCUACUGUGUGGUAGUGGAUGGGGACGGUUCUACUGUGUGGUAGUGGAUGGGGUCGUUCUACUGUGUGGUAGUGGAUGGGGACGUUCUACUGUGUGAUAGUGGAUGGGGACGGUUCUACUGUGUGAUAGUGGAUGGGGUCGUUCUACUGUGUGAUAGUGGAUGGGGUCGUUCUACUGUGUGGUAGUGGAUGGGGUCGUUCUACUGUGUGAUAGUGGAUGGGGACGUUCUACUGUGUGGUAGUGGAUGGGGUCAUUCUACUGUGUGAUAGUGGAUGGGGACGUUCUACUGUGUGAUAGUGGAUGGGGUCGUUCUACUGUGUGAUAGUGGAUGGGGACGUUCUACUGUGUGGUAGUGGAUGGGGUCGUUCUACUGUGUGAUAGUGGAUGGGGACGUUCUACUGUGUGAUAGUGGAUGGGGUCGUUCUACUGUGUGAUAGUGGAUGGGGACGUUCUACUGUGUGGUAGUGGAUGGGGUCGUUCUACUGUGUGGUAGUGGAUGGGGUCGUUCUACUGUGUGGUAGUGGAUGGGGACGUUCUACUGUGUGAUAGUGGAUGGGGUCGUUCUACUGUGUGAUAGUGGAUGGGUUCGUUCUACUGUGUGGUAGUGGAUGGGGUCGUUCUACUGUGUGGUAGCGGAUGGGGUCGUUCUACUGUGUGGUAGCGGAUGGGGACGUUCUACUGUGUGGUAGCGGAUGGGGUCGUUCUACUGUGUGAUAGUGGAUGGGGACGUUCUACUGUGUGAUAGUGGAUGGGGUCGUUCUACUGUGUGAUAGUGGAUGGGGUCGUUCUACUGUGUGGUAGUGGAUGGGGACGUUCUACUGUGUGAUAGUGGAUGGGGUCGUUCUACUGUGUGAUAGUGGAUGGGGACGGUUCUACUGUGUGAUAGUGGAUGGGGUCGUUCUACUGUGUGAUAGUGGAUGGGGUCGUUCUACUGUGUGAUAGUGGAUGGGGUCGUUCUACUGUGUGGUAGUGGAUGGGGUCGUUCUACUGUGUGAUAGUGGAUGGGGUGGUGAUCUGAUCCUCUGUCUGUCUGUCUGCGUACCGAUCUGUCUGUGGUGAUCUGAUCCUCUGUCUGUCUGCGUACCGAUCUGUCUGUGUGUUUUUGGGUUAAACUCGUCAGGUUCAUUGGUGUAUCUAGUCAGUCAGAACCUACCAAUUAGAAUCACUGAGGUCACUAGAGAUCAGCCAAACUGAAAUGUUGUGUAGAGUGGAAGGUAAGCAUGUGUACUACAUCAUACACAACAUGUGUACUACAUCAUACACAACAUGUGUACUACAUCAUACACAACAUGUGUACUACAUCAUACACAACAUGUGUACUACAUCAUACACAACAUGUGUAGAGUGGAAGGUGAGCAUUUGUACUACAUCAUACACAACAUGUGUACUACAUCAUACACAACAUGUGUAGAGUGGAAGGUGAGCAUUUGUACUACAUCAUACACAACAUGUGUACUACAUCAUACACAACAUGUGUACUACAUCAUACACGACAUGUGUAGAGUGGAAGGUGAACAUGUGUACUACAUCAUACACAACAUGUGUACUACAUCAUACACAACAUGUGUACUACAUCAUCAUACCUCUGCCUUUUACAUCUGUAAACAGGAAGUGAUAUCAGCAGCAUUUAAACAGUACUGUCCUUCAUUUCAGGUCUUCAGUCAUUUCAGAACAAGAACAACGAAGAUGAACAGUGAAAAACAGCCUGAACGUUAUUAUCUGAAGGCCAAACUAGCUUUUUAGCGGCAGGAAUAUUCUUAGAUACUUUGCCGUAACGGGGGGAAAUAAAAACCUAAAAUGCAUUUAAACUGAACAAUAAAAAUGAGUAAAUCAUACCUCUGCAUUUUUACGUCUGACCCUAAGAAAUCUCUGUUUCAACUAGAAUUGUAAGGGGGGGGUGUAGUGGUGUAAUGUAUUGUGAAGUGUGUGUACACUGAGUAUACAAAACAUUAAGAACACCUGCUCUUUCCAUGACAGACUGACCAGGUGAAUCCAGGUGAAAGCUAUGAUCCCUUUUUGAUGUCACCUGUUAAAUCCACUUCAAUCAGUGUAGAUGAAGGGGAGGAGACGAGUUAAAGAAGGGUUUUAAUCCAUGAGACAAUUGAGACAUGGAUUGUGUAUGUGUGACCAUUCAGAGGGUGAAUGGGCAAGACAAAAUAUUGAAGUGCCUUUAAACGGGGUAAUGGUAGUAGGUGCUAGGCGGUUUGUGUCAAGAACUGCAACACUGCUGGGUUUUUUACCCUCAACAGUUUCCUGUGUGUAUCAAGAAUGGUCCACCACCCAAAGGACAUCCAGCCAACUUGAUACAACUGUGGGGAAGCAUUGGAGUCAACAUGGACCAGCAUCCCUGUGGAAACGCUUUCGACACCUUGUCGAGUCCAUGACCCCGAUGAACUGAGGCUGUUCUGAGGGCAAAACGAUGGUGAAACUCAAUAUUAGGAAGGUGUUCUUAAUGUUUUGUACACUCUCAGUGUAGGUUAAUAUUGAACCUACUGGUUAUUUACCCACAAAUCACCAGGUCCUGGAAGGACAGCUUCUCCCUCCCUCUCAAGCUGUAGUGGUAGAGAACAUCAUUGGUAGCAAUUUUGCAGAGGACAGAAGUUUUUAUUUAUUAUAACCUUUAACUAGUAAUUGAUCUAAAAUGACAGACAAAAGUGAGUGUCAGUUUCCCCAUUAUCCUGAAUACUGUGAUUUACAACCGAUUGUUGUGGGAAGAUCUGGGAACAAAACUGAAUUGGUUCUCGAUUAAUUGUUUCCAGCUUCAUCAGGUUGUUUCGGAAACCGGAAAUAGUUUUAAGUCGAGUACAAAGGUUAUAGUUAAUAGUCCAAUUCAUUUCAAUGUUUUUCUAUACUUUAGUGAACAAUCAUCUCCCCAUAACAUCCUCACACCCUUGUCGAAAUAAAGCAAGAAAGUUGGCUGUGGUCUGUGAUUUAUCCAAGUUAUAUAGUGUCCGUGAUACUUUUACGCAGUAGGCCUUAACCUAACGACACACGGCGACUUGUAACAUUAAAGUUAUAAUCCUUAGUUGCCACAUCCAUUU
RNAcentral lists this long non-coding RNA (4705 nucleotides) under Salmo salar (Atlantic salmon). RNAcentral describes it as "lncRNA (ENSSSAG00000088261.1)". Lineage: Eukaryota; Metazoa; Chordata; Actinopteri; Salmoniformes; Salmonidae. The record is from RNAcentral.